Molecule: long non-coding RNA, 235 nt
Filed under: Musa acuminata (dwarf banana)
Lineage: Eukaryota; Viridiplantae; Streptophyta; Magnoliopsida; Zingiberales; Musaceae
Description: long non-coding RNA (MACU_LNC009655)
Source: RNAcentral
UCGGUGGCCUCGAGUGAAGAGGAAUCAGGAGUGGAUAUAGGUCAUGACAACCGAACCACUAUAAAACUCGAUUUGCAUUUACUUUAAGCUCUUUACUUUCAUUGCAAACUGCUUUACUUACUUAUUCACUACGCUUCUGUACACUUUUAAGUUAACAUCUUUCCGAUAUAGUUUUUUAUCAAACAAAAGAUUUUUAAAUCGACAUUUUUAACGAAAGCACUAACAUAACAGAAUG